GUAUAUUUAACUUUAUAGGUACAAAAGGACCCAAUUCAACAUUCUAAAACAGAUUCAUAGGUUUGUGAUAAUGACAUAGACCUGAAAAAAUACAAGGGAAAGCCGACUUGAGAUAGCACAGCAGUCCCCAACUCGAAAAUAAAUCAAACAUCUCUCUCAGGUCUACAAUAUGUGCACAGUUGGAGAAAUAAAGAUGACAAGCGUGCACGUAUCCCUCCAAGGAGGGCCAGCAACAGCCUGUUCAAGUUUAUUCAAUAAUGAUCCUUCCGCAGGUUCACCUACGGAAA
This 287-nucleotide unclassified non-coding RNA is filed under the name uncultured fungus. Its description in RNAcentral is "sequence contains ITS1". Lineage: Eukaryota; Fungi. The record is from RNAcentral.